CGUAGCUCAUCGGUAGAGCACUUGCUUGAAACAAGAUGUAGCAGGUUCAAAUCCUGCCGAGAG
This 63-nucleotide transfer RNA is filed under the name Verrucomicrobiaceae bacterium. RNAcentral describes it as "tRNA-Ser". It matches the Rfam family "tRNA", at positions 6 to 65 of the family's 71-position model. From Rfam's summary of the family: Transfer RNA (tRNA) molecules are approximately 80 nucleotides in length. The record is from RNAcentral. Lineage: Bacteria; Pseudomonadati; Verrucomicrobiota; Verrucomicrobiia; Verrucomicrobiales; Verrucomicrobiaceae.